Molecule: ribosomal RNA, 253 nt
Filed under: uncultured bacterium
Lineage: Bacteria
Description: partial 16S ribosomal RNA
Rfam family: Bacterial small subunit ribosomal RNA
Source: RNAcentral
UACGGAGGGUGCGAGCGUUGUCCGGAAUCAUUGGGCGUAAAGGGCGCGUAGGCGGCCUGAUAAGUCGGGGGUGAAAUCCUGCGGCUUAACCGCAGGGCUGCCUUCUAAACUGUCAGGCUGGAGCACAGUAGAGGCAGGUGGAAUUCCCGGUGUAGCGGUGGAAUGCGUAGAGAUCGGGAAGAACAUCAGUGGCGAAGGCGGCCUGCUGGGCUGUUGCUGACGCUGAGGCGCGACAGCGUGGGGAGCAAACAGG